Long non-coding RNA from Cyprinodon tularosa, 224 nucleotides. RefSeq lists it as uncharacterized. The transcript is spliced from 2 exons. The record is from RefSeq and is a predicted model, not a curated record. Lineage: Eukaryota; Metazoa; Chordata; Actinopteri; Cyprinodontiformes; Cyprinodontidae.
UUUACCCCACAGAGAUGAAGCUGAUGAAUUUGUUGAAAUUGGUGCCCUUAAUGGCAUCUUUGUCUUGGGACGCAGCAUGGGAUUCAUUGGACACUACCUCGAUCAGAAGAGGCUGAAGCAGGGUCUGUAUCGCCACCCCUGGGAUGAUAUCUCCUAUGUAUUGCCUGAGCAUAUGUCUAUGUAAUCAAAGACACUAAGCUGCUACCAGAGUUGGGUAGAGUACC